Molecule: unclassified non-coding RNA, 361 nt
Filed under: soil metagenome
Description: partial contains 5.8S ribosomal RNA, internal transcribed spacer 2, and large subunit ribosomal RNA
Rfam family: 5.8S ribosomal RNA (bases 1-119)
Source: RNAcentral
GAUGAAGAACGUAGCGAAAUGCGAUAAGUAAUGUGAAUUGCAGAAUUCAGUGAUCAUCGAAUCUUUGAACGCACCUUGCGCUCCUUGGUAUUCCGAGGAGCAUGCCUGUUUGAGUGUCAUUAAUAUAUCAACCUUCUCUUUUUUGAGUUGUUUGGAUGUGGGGGUUUGCUGGCCUCUUAAAUGAUUCAGCUCCCCUGAAAUGCAUUAGCAGAACAACCUGUUCAUUGGCGUGAUAAUUAUCUAUGCUAUUGAAUGUGAGGGCAGUUCAGCUUUCUAACCGUCCUUGGACAAUUCAUCAUUAAUGUGACCUCAAAUCAGGUAGGACUACCCGCUGAACUUAAGCAUAUCAAUAAGCGGAGGA